This 71-nucleotide transfer RNA is filed under the name Mycobacterium alsense. Its description in RNAcentral is "tRNA-Arg". It matches the Rfam family "tRNA". From Rfam's summary of the family: Transfer RNA (tRNA) molecules are approximately 80 nucleotides in length. Their secondary structure includes four short double-helical elements and three loops (D, anti-codon, and T loops). Further hydrogen bonds mediate the characteristic L-shaped molecular structure. tRNAs have two regions of fundamental functional importance: the anti-codon, which is responsible for specific mRNA codon recognition, and the 3' end, to which the tRNAs corresponding amino acid is attached (by aminoacyl-tRNA synthetases). tRNAs cope with the degeneracy of the genetic code in two manners: having more than one tRNA (with a specific anti-codon) for a particular amino acid; and 'wobble' base-pairing, i.e. permitting non-standard base-pairing at the 3rd anti-codon position. The record is from RNAcentral. Lineage: Bacteria; Bacillati; Actinomycetota; Actinomycetes; Mycobacteriales; Mycobacteriaceae.
ACCCUUAUAGCUCAGCGGAAGAGCAGUGGUCUACGAAGCCAUGCGCCCACGUUCGAAUCGUGGUAGGGGUA